Molecule: long non-coding RNA, 1016 nt
Filed under: Helianthus annuus (common sunflower)
Lineage: Eukaryota; Viridiplantae; Streptophyta; Magnoliopsida; Asterales; Asteraceae
Source: RNAcentral
UUAGUUAGAUUGGGGGACCCAAGCCUUAAUGGUCUUGGGUCGUACGUAACCUAGAAAGUAGCCCUCGUCAGCCACCUCACCGAAUUUUUGUUUAUCUUUAUUUCGCACUAUGGUGCAGGGUAAUCCAAAUGGUUCAAAGCCUUCUAAGUUUGGUUUCUUGUUAAACAUUAAUUCAUGACAAGUUUUGUUAAAACGUUUAACAGUCAAAACUUUGUUUAGGACGUAGCAAGCUGUAUUCACAGCUUCUCCCCAGAAAAGAACUGGUAGCUUAGAAUCUGAAAGCAUCGUCCUAGCGGCUUCAAUCAACGUCCUGUUUUUCCUCUCAGCAACUCCAUUCUGUUGAGGCGUAUAAGGAGCAGAAUAUUGAUGUUCAAUUCCCUUGCGAAGACAAUAGAGAUCUAGAAUACGAUUCUUGAACUCCGUGCCAUUAUCACUCCUUAUCCUCUUGAUCUUUGCAUCAUGGACAUUUUCCAAUUUUGUAAAAAGAUCUAUCAACAUCUCUGCUGUCUCAUCUUUUGUACCUAAAAAGAAAACCCAUGAAUAACGUGAGUAAUCAUCAGUGACAACUAAACAAUAGUACUUUCCACCUAUGCUCCUCACGUUCACUGGACCGAAUAAAUCCAUGUGAAGUAAUUCGUAAGGGGCAUCUAUGGAAUUUACUGUUUUUGAUUUAUGAGGUUUCUUGUGUUGUUUUCCCUUUUGACAUGGAAGACAUUUGUCUUCCACUUGAAACCUCCGCAAUGGAACCCCUUUCACUAGCUCAUUUUUAACAAGAUAGUUCAUUUUGCGAUAGUGAAUAUGGGCCAUGCGUCUGUGCCACAACAUCGAUUCAGCUUCAGAUGCUUUUGAUAGUAAACAUGCCACCACUGCAGUUGGAUCCUUAGCACCCAUGUCCAUGACAUAAGUGUCAUUUCUCCUUGGCGCUCGCAUCACUAUCCAAUCGUCCGGUAUCUUCAAACCUGGUUUCAACACUAAUGCUUCAUUCUUGGUAAAAUGGACCGAGUGACCCUUGUCGC